AGUGAACGCUGGCGGUAGGCCUAACACAUGCAAGUCGAACGGCAGCACAGUAAGAGCUUGCUCUUACGGGUGGCGAGUGGCGGACGGGUGAGGAAUACAUCGGAAUCUACUUUUUCGUGGGGGAUAACGUAGGGAAACUUACGCUAAUACCGCAUACGACCUACGGGUGAAAGCAGGGGAUCUUCGGACCUUGCGCGAUUGAAUGAGCCGAUGUCGGAUUAGCUAGUUGGCGGGGUAAAGGCCCACCAAGGCGACGAUCCGUAGCCGGUCUGAGAGGAUGAUCAGCCACACUGGAACUGAGACACGGUCCAGACUCCUACGGGAGGCAGCAGUGGGGAAUAUUGGACAAUGGGCGCAAGCCUGAUCCAGCUAUACCGCGUGGGUGAAGAAGGCCUUCGGGUUGUAAAGCCCUUUUGUUGGGAAAGAAAAGCAGCAGGUUAAUACCCCGCUGUUCUGACGGUACCCAAAGAAUAAGCACCGGCUAACUUCGUG
This 492-nucleotide ribosomal RNA is filed under the name uncultured bacterium. RNAcentral describes it as "partial 16S ribosomal RNA". It matches the Rfam family "Bacterial small subunit ribosomal RNA", at positions 29 to 507 of the family's 1533-position model. The record is from RNAcentral.